CAUGACAAGUCGAGCGAAGCGAUUUAGGCGGAAGUUUUCGGAUGGAAGUGGAUUGACUGAGCGGCGGACGGGUGAGUAACGCGUAGGGUAACCUGCCUCAUACGAGGGGGAUAACAGUUAGAAAUGACUGACUAAUACCGCAUAAGCGCGACGGGAACGCAUUGUUUUUGUGUAGAAAACGCCGAGACGGUAUGAGAUCGGACCCGCGUCUGAUUAGCUAGUUGGGAGGUAACGGCCCACCAGGCGACGAUCAGUAGCCGACCUGAGAGGGUGACCGGCCACAGUUGGGACUGAGACGACGGACCCAAACUCCGUACGGGGAGGCAGCAGGUGGGGAAUAUGCACAUGGGGGAAACCCUGAUGCAGCGACGCCGCGUGAGUGAAGAAGUAUUUCGGUAUGUAAAGCUCUAUCAGCAGGGAAGAGAAUGACGGUACCUGACUAAGAAGCCCCGGCUAACUACGUGCCAGCAGCCGCGGUAA
Molecule: ribosomal RNA, 480 nt
Filed under: uncultured bacterium
Lineage: Bacteria
Description: bacterial SSU rRNA
Rfam family: Bacterial small subunit ribosomal RNA
Source: RNAcentral